AGUGUAGGCGGGAUCGUAAGUUAGGAGUUUAAUGCAUGGGCUUAACCCAUGAUCUGCUUUUAAUACUGCGGUUCUUGAGUAUGGGAGAGGGCGAUGGAAUUCCAGGUGUAGCGGUGGAAUGCGUAGAUAUCUGGAAGAACACCAGUAGCGAAGGCGGUCGCCUGGCCCAAUACUGACGCUGAUGCUCGAAAGCUAGGGGAGCAAACAGGAUUAGAUACCCUGGUAGUCCUAGCCGUAAACGAUGGACACUAGUUGCUGGAGGAGUCAAUCCUUCCGGUGACGAAGCUAACGCAUUAAGUGUCCCGCCUGGGAAGUACGCUCGCAAGGGUGAA
RNAcentral lists this ribosomal RNA (332 nucleotides) under uncultured bacterium. RNAcentral's name for it is "bacterial SSU rRNA". It matches the Rfam family "Bacterial small subunit ribosomal RNA", at positions 568 to 898 of the family's 1533-position model. The record is from RNAcentral.